UACGGAGGAUCCAAGCGUUAUCCGGAAUUACUGGGCGUAAAGAGUUGCGUAGGCGGCAUUGUAAGCAGGUAGUGAAAGCGUGUGGCUCAACCAUACUCACAUUAUCUGAACUGCAAAGCUAGAGGACAAGAGAGGUCACUGGAAUUCCUUGUGUAGGAGUGAAAUCCGUAGAUAUAAGGAGGAACACCGAUGGCGUAGGCAGGUGACUGGCUUGUUCCUGACGCUCAGGCACGAAAGCGUGGGUAGCAAA
This 250-nucleotide ribosomal RNA is filed under the name uncultured bacterium. RNAcentral describes it as "partial 16S ribosomal RNA". It matches the Rfam family "Bacterial small subunit ribosomal RNA", at positions 524 to 772 of the family's 1533-position model. The record is from RNAcentral.